CCUCUAGUCGAUAUAACGCACUUUCAAUUUUGCUUGCCAUGUGAACUUAAUGUGUAUUCGCUAUGGUGUAAACUGUAUUUUAGAUGGCUAUUCAAUUACACAUGUGCCAUGUUUCCUAUUUUCCUGUGUAUAUUAUUCAAAAUCUAUCAAAUUUUAGCCAAUUUCAAAAAACGCUUAAGUGCGGUUAAGCUGCGCUUAAGCGUCCAUUGCUCUAAGUUGUGGCCUUCCGCUUCGCUUACGCUUUCCGUUUUUCUGAACAUUGCAUAUGCAGUAAGUGUAGUAAGUAGAUAUAUGCAUGACCCCAGAAGUGGAUAUCUUGAUGCAGUCUAUAGAAUCCUGAGGUAUCUAAAGGGGAGCCCUAUAUGGGACUCUCAUUCAAGAGUAAUGGCCAUUUGCAAUUUUGAAUACGGUUAUAGUGAUGCUGAUUGGGCUAGCUGUCUUGAUGAUAGACGAUCGACCUCUGGCUAUUGUGUGUUUAUUGGUGGAAAUUUAGUAUCACUGAAGAGCAAAAAACAACCGAUGGUGUCAAAAUCAACUGCAGAAGCUGAGUAUAGGGUAAUGUCUCAAGACCUAAGUGAGAUGGUGUGGGUAAGGGGCCUUCUGCUUAAGCUGAAGGUGCUUAGACAAGAACCUCUGAAUGUGUGGUGUGACAACAAUUAUGCCAUCAGCAUUGCUAAUAAUCCAGUGCAGCAUGACAGAACAAAAGAUGUCGAGAUAGACAGAUUCUUUAUCAAAGAGAAACUGGAUGCAGGAAUCAUCAAGAUAACUCAUGUGAGCUCUGGACAACAAGUCGCCGAUUGUCUAACAAAAGGUUCGGAAACCAGGGAGAGCAAUCUUGCUUGUGACAAGAUGGGCAUGAUAAAUAUCUAUCAUGCCUCUUGAUCGGGAAUGUUGGGAUGUGCCCUCUCUUUGCUUCAAUGUGUGUGUGUGUGUGCGCGCGCUAUGGCCCAUGUGGCCCAUGUAACCCAGCAGCCUAUAUAUGUACUGCCCCCUGUACAGGAAAUCUUAACCCCAAUAGAAUACAACACCAGGCCAGCUCUCUAUCACAGUCGUCACCCCUCUCAUGUGUGUGUGCGCGCGCUCUAUGGCCCAUGUAACCCAGCAGCCUAUAUAUGUACUGCCUCUGUACAAGAAACCUUAACCCCAAUAGAAUACAACACCAUGCUAGCUCUCUAUCCCAGCCGCCACCCCUCUCCCCCCUAAUUCUACAAAAAUCCAAUCACUUUACAUGACCAAGUUCGACUUAGUUCACAUAGAACACCAGCCACCAUGUAUAGGCAAUCUUUGUAC
RNAcentral lists this long non-coding RNA (1290 nucleotides) under Hordeum vulgare. RNAcentral's name for it is "long non-coding RNA (HVUL_LNC010132)". Lineage: Eukaryota; Viridiplantae; Streptophyta; Magnoliopsida; Poales; Poaceae. The record is from RNAcentral.